AUUGAACGCUGGCGGCAGGCCUAACACAUGCAAGUCGAACGAGUGGCGGACGGGUGAGGAAUAUAUCGGAAUCUGCUCGGUCGUGGGGGAUAACGUCGGGAAACGUAGGCUAAUACCGCAUACCAUCGGAUGUGCCCAGAUGGGAUUAGCUUGUAGGUGAGGUAACGGCUCACCUAGGCGACGAUCCCUAGCUGGUCUGAGAGGAUGAUAAGCCACACGGGAAUUGAGACACGGCCCAGACUCCUACGGGAGGCAGCAGUGGGGAAUAUUGCACAAGGGGCGCAAGCCUGAUGCAGCCAUGCCGCGUGUAUGAAGAAGGCCUUCGGGUUGUAAAGUACUUUCAGCGGGGAGGCGUUACCCGCAGAAGAAGCACCGGCUAACUCCGUGCCAGCAGCCGCGGUAAUUC
RNAcentral lists this ribosomal RNA (406 nucleotides) under uncultured bacterium. RNAcentral's name for it is "partial 16S ribosomal RNA". It matches the Rfam family "Bacterial small subunit ribosomal RNA", at positions 30 to 526 of the family's 1533-position model. The record is from RNAcentral.